GACGAACCGUCCAACCGUUAUUCGGAAUCACUGGGCUUAAAGGGUGCGUAGGCGGCGCGGCAAGUUGGGUGUGAAAUACCUCGGCUUAACCGAGGAACUGCGCCCAAAACUGCCGUGCUUGAGGAAGAUAGAGGUGAGCGGAACUUAGGGUGGAGCGGUGAAAUGCGUUGAUAUCCUAAGGAACACCGGUGGCGAAAGCGGCUCACUGGAUCUUUUCUGACGCUGAGGCACGAAAGCUAGGGGAGCGAACGGG
Molecule: ribosomal RNA, 253 nt
Filed under: uncultured bacterium
Lineage: Bacteria
Description: partial 16S ribosomal RNA
Rfam family: Bacterial small subunit ribosomal RNA
Source: RNAcentral